This 510-nucleotide ribosomal RNA is filed under the name Scatopsciara vitripennis. Its description in RNAcentral is "partial 16S ribosomal RNA". The record is from RNAcentral. Lineage: Eukaryota; Metazoa; Arthropoda; Insecta; Diptera; Sciaridae.
GUCUUUUUGUAUUUUAUUUAAAGUUUAACCUGCCCACUGAAUUAUUUUAAAAGGCUGCGGUAUUUUGACCGUACAAAGGUAGCAUAGUCAUUAGUUUUUUAAUUGAAAACUUGUAUGAAUGGUUGAAUGAAAAAUUAACUUUUUUAUUUAAAAUAUUGAACUUUACUUUUUAAUCAAAAGGUUAAAAUUAACUUAAAAGACGAGAAGACCCUAUAGAGUUUUAUAUUUUACAGUUUAUUUUUAAUCAAGAUUAUUAUUAAUUUUAUUUUGUAAAAUAUUUUAUUGGGGUGAUAAUAUAAUUUAAUAAACUUAUACUUUUUUUUCCAUUAAUAUAUGUUUUUUCUUGAUCCAAUAUUAUUGAUUAAAAAUUUAAAUUACCUUAGGGAUAACAGCGUAAUUUUUUUUUAAGUUCAUAUUAAUAAAAAAUUUUGCGACCUCGAUGCUGUGGAUUAAGAUUUAAUUUUAGGUGCAGCAGUUUAAAAUUUAAGUCUGUUCGACUUUUAAAUUCUU